This is a long non-coding RNA of Cebus imitator (Panamanian white-faced capuchin), 2696 nucleotides long. RefSeq lists it as uncharacterized. Lineage: Eukaryota; Metazoa; Chordata; Mammalia; Primates; Cebidae. The transcript is spliced from 3 exons. The record is from RefSeq and is a predicted model, not a curated record.
GAAAGCCGCAAGAGUCCCGCCCCGUGCCUGAGGCCCGGGGCUGGCCGGGCCUGCGCUGUAGUGGGCUGAUCCCGGCCUCUAGGGCGCGUCCUGGGCGGCGACUCUAUUCCCGCGUGCGGGCCUGGGAAAGGCUAGCCAGUUUUGAAAGAGUGGUCCUAAUUCUGCCAGGCUGCAGAUUCCUGCGUGAAGCUGGGGGAGCUUGGCGACUGACCCAGGAUAUAGAAGGCGCUCUGGGUAGGCCGCGCUCCGCCACGAGGGUACCCAGCCCUCUGGGAUAGAUGCAGGAACAGAUGGCUGAGACCCAUUUUCACCCUACUUCUUCUCGCCCCAGCUCUGGCUUACCACCCGCUCCUCCCCAUUUCCAAAGAGCCGCUUUUUGCAGCACCAAACACACCAGUGCUUUGUAGAGGAAUCUAAUUGUCCACCCCGCGUCUUGGCAAAAGAACAGUAAUCACACAGAUCCCUGCUUGGGCUCUUUCAUCUUCUGAAGCUGUUUGCCCAACUCAGAGAUGAAGAAGACACCUCCUAUCCACGUAUUAAAAAAAAUCCAACAUUGGUCACAGACUCUCCUUGGGAAGACAGUCUUCCCUUGGUGUCUGGUCAAUAGCAGGAUGCCCGCCUUGUCCUUUCACCAGUCAUAUGGCCCAGGACCCCAGGUGGGGACACCCACUGGGGAUCCUAGUGGUUGCUCUCCUCCUCGUCUCUUUCUCCCCAACCCUCUCUGGUCUAUCAUGAGCAACCUUCUUCCCUCCAUCCCUCCCUCUUCCCCUUUGGCCUGUGUCCUCAAGAACCUUAAACCCCUUUAGUUUUUAUCUGAACUAAAACCAAAAUGUCUAAUUUUUUUCUGUAACAUGGCCUGGCCUCAAUAUAAAGUAGACAAUGGCUCCCACUGGCCAGAAAAUGGCACUUUUGAUUUCUCUAUUUUGUGGAACAUAAACAAUUUUUGUCAUAGAAUGAGCAAAUGGUCUGAAGUACCCUACAUUCAGGCAUUUUUUACACUCCAGUCUCCCCCUAAUUUCUGCUCUCAGUGUAACCCACCCCAAAUUUUCCUUCUCUCCCUUCCAUCCAUACCUCCUGCCUCUGCCAAUGACACAGAAUCCUCCUUGUCCAUUGACCCUUCCGACCUUUCUCCUCCCUGCCUGUCUGAACAAGGCCCUAAUCCCCCCUCCCCGAGACUUUCUCUUCUUCCUCUGCCUGCAACCCACCUCCUUAUGCCUCUCCCAUCACCACCCCACCUCAUACCAAGUCCGGCUUAUAAUUUGGUCUGGCACCCAUGGCUAACUCCCCCUCCCCGUCCAACAGUUUCGCCUUCACAAGGUGCCUGGCGACACAGGAAUAGUCCAGUUGCACGUCCCUUUUUCUCUAUCUGACCUCUCCCAAAUCGGUCAAUGUCUAGGCUCUCCCCUCAGACACCACCAAGUAUAUAUAUAUAAGAAUUCCAAUACUUAACCCAGUCUUAUAUCUCACCUGGAGUGACUUAAAUGUCAUCCUUACUUCUACUCUCACCCCAGAAGAAUGAGAAUGGGUUUGGACCCUAGUUCAGUCUUACACAGAUGAUUGCUGGCACCUUGAGCCUGGCCUUCGGGAAGGUGCCAGGGCAGCACCCUGAGAAGACCCCCAAUAGGACUACCAGACAGGAACCCCUGGCAUUGCCAGCUGAGAUUACAUGAUCUCCUGUCUAGUUGAAGGGCUUCAAAAGGCAGCAUAUAAGGCUGUCAAUUACGACAAACUAAAAGAGACCACUUGUAACAAAGAUGAAAAUUCUGCUCAGUUUAUGGCCCAUCUAGCUGCUGCCCUCAGGCAAUAUAGAGCAUUAGAACCUGAAGGGCCUGAAGGCUACCAUAUUCUUAACAUGCAUUUUAUCACCUUAUCAGCCCCUGACAUUACAAAAAGCUACAGAAAUUAGAGUCUGGCCCUCAAACGCCACAACAGGAACUAAUCAACCUCGCCUUCAAGGUGUUCAACAAUAGGGAAGAAGGAAAACUGCAGAUGUUUGCUUCUGCUGUAAAACAAACACCAGCCACACCACAGGCCCCAAAAAACUUCAAAGCACCCAGACUGCAGCGUCCAGCUGCCCCUCUGGACCUUGCUUCAAGUGUAAAAAACCUGGCCACUGGGCCAAGGAAUGCCUGCAGCCCAGGCUUCCUCCUACGCCCUGCCCCGUCUGUGCAGGCCCCCGCUGAAGUCAGACUGUCCAACUCAUAUCGCUGACCCCAGAGCUCCUGGAGCUCCAACCGGAAGCUCCCUGACCAAGCCAUUCCCAGAUCUCCUCGGUUUGGUGGCUGAAGACUGAUGCUUCCCAAACAUCUUGCAGGCUUCUUGGAUCAUCGCAGACCCCGAACUUCAGCACCCCAACUGCUGUCCAAUUGCAAGAGCCCCCCGGGGAGUACACCACUCCAGGGUAAAGCUGUGUCCACCGGAUAAGCAGCCUGACUCUUCCACCUCUUCUUGGAAGUUGCAAGGACUCUCCCAACUUCUCUAAAACUUACCCGAAUUCCUGAAGAGAAUUAAAUGCCCUGGUCCUGCCUACCUUGCUGCUUCACCCUCUUCCUCCACUGUUUGCCAAGAAAUUUCCUGAUUCCACCCCCAGGCUACCACCCUUAACUCUCUUCUAGAGUGGAUAGAUGACCUUGUUUUCUAAGGCACCCUGUGUGUCUUCUCCCCCAAUGAAGUACAACUGUUUACCUUCCCCCUCA